Molecule: signal recognition particle RNA, 299 nt
Filed under: Aotus nancymaae (Ma's night monkey)
Lineage: Eukaryota; Metazoa; Chordata; Mammalia; Primates; Aotidae
Description: Metazoan signal recognition particle RNA (ENSANAG00000012619.1)
Rfam family: Metazoan signal recognition particle RNA
About the family: The signal recognition particle (SRP) is a universally conserved ribonucleoprotein.
Source: RNAcentral
GCCGGGCUCUGUGGCGCAUGCCUGUAGUCCCAGCUACUCGGGAGGCUGAAGUGGGAGGAUCGCUUGAGCUCAGGAGUUCUGGGCUGUAGUGCGCUAUGUUGAUCGGGUGUCUGCACUAAGUUCGGCAUCAAUAUGGUGACCUCCCAGGAGCAGGGGACCACCAGGUUGCCUAAGGAGGGGUGAACCGGUCCAGGUCAGAAACGGAGCAGGUCAAAACUCCCAUGCUGAUCAGUAGUGGGAUCGCGCCUGUGAAUAGCCACUGCACUCCAGCCUGGGCAACAUAGUGAGACCCUGUCUCU